GUGAUGUUGUGCCACUCUCAGUAUUUUGCUUGACGAAUGUGGAGAAGUGGGACAAAUUCAGGAAUAUAGACAUGGAUAAGGAGGCUACCAUAAUGGAUGCUCUUGAAGGCAAAACAUCGAAGCGAAAAAAUUGCGUGGA
Non-coding RNA from Nicotiana tabacum (common tobacco), 139 nucleotides. NCBI's taxonomy places the organism in Eukaryota, Viridiplantae, Streptophyta, Magnoliopsida, Solanales, Solanaceae. The record is from RefSeq and is a predicted model, not a curated record.